This 840-nucleotide ribosomal RNA is filed under the name uncultured bacterium. RNAcentral describes it as "bacterial SSU rRNA". It matches the Rfam family "Bacterial small subunit ribosomal RNA", at positions 38 to 852 of the family's 1533-position model. The record is from RNAcentral.
GGCGGCGUGCCUAAUACACGCAAGUUGAACGCAACAAAGACACCAGAGCUUGCUCUACCGUCUUUGUUGAGUAGCGAACGGGUGAGUAACGCGUGGGUAACCUGCCUUAUAGCGGGGGAUAACUAUUGGAAACGAUAGCUAAUACCGCAUAACAAUAGAGAUUGCAUAAUCUUUAUUUGAAAGUGCCAACUGGUACACUAUGAGAUGGACCCGCGUUGUAUUAGCUAGUUGGUAGUGUAAUGGACUACCAAGGCGAUGAUACAUAGCCGACCUGAGAGGGUGAUCGGCCACAUUGGGACUGAGACACGGCCCAAACUCCUACGGGAGGCAGCAGUAGGGAAUCUUCGGCAAUGGACGAAAGUCUGACCGAGCAACGCCGCGUGAGUGAAGAAGGUUUUCGGAUCGUAAAACUCUGUUGUUAGAGAAGAAUGUUGAUUAGAGUGGAAAAUUAAUCAAGUGACGGUAUCUAACCAGAAAGGGACGGCUAACUACGUGCCAGCAGCCGCGGUAAUACGUAGGUCCCGAGCGUUGUCCGGAUUUAUUGGGCGUAAAGCGAGCGCAGGUGGUUUAAUAAGUCUGAUGUAAAAGGCAGUGGCUCAACCAUUGUGUGCAUUGGAAACUGUUAGACUUGAGUGCAGUAGAGGAGAGUGGAAUUCCAUGUGUAGCGGUGAAAUGCGUAGAUAUAUGGAGGAACACCGGUGGCGAAAGCGGCUCUCUGGACUGUCACUGACACUGAGGCUCGAAAGCGUGGGUAGCAAACAGGAUUAGAUACCCUGGUAGUCCACGCCGUAAACGAUGAGUGCUAGUUGUUUGGGGCUAUCCAGCCCUAAGUGACGCAGC